GGGGAUGUGGCUCAGUGGUAGAGCUCCUGCCUGCAUGCAGGAGGCCAUGGGUUCGAUCCCAAGCACCA
Molecule: transfer RNA, 68 nt
Filed under: Cavia porcellus (domestic guinea pig)
Lineage: Eukaryota; Metazoa; Chordata; Mammalia; Rodentia; Caviidae
Rfam family: tRNA
About the family: Transfer RNA (tRNA) molecules are approximately 80 nucleotides in length. Their secondary structure includes four short double-helical elements and three loops (D, anti-codon, and T loops). Further hydrogen bonds mediate the characteristic L-shaped molecular structure. tRNAs have two regions of fundamental functional importance: the anti-codon, which is responsible for specific mRNA codon recognition, and the 3' end, to which the tRNAs corresponding amino acid is attached (by aminoacyl-tRNA synthetases). tRNAs cope with the degeneracy of the genetic code in two manners: having more than one tRNA (with a specific anti-codon) for a particular amino acid; and 'wobble' base-pairing, i.e. permitting non-standard base-pairing at the 3rd anti-codon position.
Source: Rfam by way of RNAcentral